UCAUGGACGAAAGCCAGGGGAGCGAAAGGGAUUAGAUACCCCUGUAGUCCUGGCCGUAAACGAUGAACACUAGGUGUCGGGGGAAUCGACCCCCUCGGUGUCGUAGCUAACGCGUUAAGUGUUCCGCCUGGGGAGUACGCACGCAAGUGUGAAACUCAAAGGAAUUGACGGGGGCCCGCACAAGCGGUGGAGUAUGUGGUUUAAUUCGAUGCAACGCGAAGAACCUUACCAGGGUUUGACAUCCUGCGAACCUCUUAGAAAUUUGAGGGUGCCUUCGGGAAUGCAGUGACAGGUGGUGCAUGGCUGUCGUCAGCUCGUGUCGUGAGAUGUUGGGUUAAGUCCCGCAACGAGCGCAACCCACGUUUUUAGUUGCCAGCAUUUAGUUGGGCACUCUAGAAAGACCGCCGGUGAUAAACCGGAGGAAGGUGUGGAUGACGUCAAGUCAUCAUGCCCCUUACACCCUGGGCUACACACGUACUACAAUGCUACGGACAAAGGGCAGCAAACUCGCGAGAGCUAGCAAAUCCCAUAAACCGUGGCUCAGUUCAGAUCGUAGGCUGCAACUCGCCUACGUGAAGUAGGAAUCGCUAGUAAUCGCAGGUCAGCAUACUGCGGUGAAUACGUUCCCGGGCCUUGUACACACCGCCCGUCACACCAUGGAAGUUGGCCAUGCCCGAAGUCGUUACUCCAACCCUUGUGGAGGAGGACGCCGAAGAUGGGGCUAAUGACUGGGGUGAAGUCGUAACAAGGUA
This 752-nucleotide ribosomal RNA is filed under the name uncultured marine bacterium. RNAcentral describes it as "bacterial SSU rRNA". It matches the Rfam family "Bacterial small subunit ribosomal RNA", at positions 747 to 1498 of the family's 1533-position model. The record is from RNAcentral.